This 75-nucleotide transfer RNA is filed under the name Candidatus Altimarinota bacterium. RNAcentral's name for it is "tRNA-Arg". It matches the Rfam family "tRNA". Rfam says of the family: Transfer RNA (tRNA) molecules are approximately 80 nucleotides in length. The record is from RNAcentral. Lineage: Bacteria; Candidatus Altimarinota.
GCUUUCGUAGUUCAACGGAUAGAAUAACCCCGUCCUAAGGGGUAGAUGCAGGUUCGAUUCCUGCCGAGAGCACCA